CACAUUUUCUUUGAAAUAUUCAAAAUAUAUUCAAGUUAUUUUCAAAACUGAAGCUCCAAAUGGCCAUUUGUCUUAUAAUGUUAUUUUCUAAUGAAAAUCUUGGCCAUGACAGUGAGUGGUAUUUUAUUGAGGUGUAUGUGUGGUAUGUUCUAGUUGGUAUCACCUAAGUUCAGAAAAGGUGUUGAACACAUCUCUGAAUUUUGCCUGCCAUCUAAUGUAUAUAAAUCUGCUUUUAAUCCCCAAAAAGAAUAUUCAUACUUUGUUUUGUUAGAAAAUUAUCAAAAGUUGGUUGUAGAAAUUCUGUUUAUGAGAACUGUCUAAAACUUGCAAAUCAUCUAUUCCCUUAGACACUUAACUUUAUAUUUAAAUAAUGGACCGCUAAAGUUUGGAAUAGAAUUUUGUUUGCUAAACCAUCCCUUGGGGCUAUAUCUGUAUUAAAUUUGAGAAGGUUUAAUUUUUAGAAAAUCUAACAAGUUUUUACCAUAAGCAUGUUGUCAGAUUUUGCGUAUGAUAUCCCAGUGUCCUUUUUAUGAGGACCAGGAGAGAAGCUUCUUUGAGACUUCAUAUCACAAAUAGCUGGAAUUAACCUAAGAAACUAGUAUCUUUUUACUGUGGGACACUAUGGAACUUACAACUACACUUUUCGCUAUUGUUUGACUGCUAGAAAGAAAAAAGUCAAAUCUGCAAGCCAGUUCUGGCAAAAUUCUUAGAGCAGAUAUUUUUGAUACAAUUUUUACCUCCAACUUUGCUUUCCUCUGUCCUACCCCCAUUCAUCUUCCUCCCUUAUUCACCAUCAAGUUCAAAAUGUGUAUUUUUUGUCAGCUCCUGCUAAUUCUGUCUGGAGUGAGCUGGGAGGUAAUUAACUAGUUAAUAAAUUAAUUACUAGCUACAUUGAGCAACAUGCUUUUUUCUCCUCUUCAGUCCAGUGCUUGCUUUUAUUUACUCCUCUCAUCUAUUCAUGUCUUCUUGUAAUAUGGCUACAGCUUGCCCACCUGCUUCGGCGUGUCUGUCAGGACAAUCUGAUGGGAGUGACCAGUCCCACAAAGCCUGGAACUAGAAGCUGCUGGGCCCUUUCCCAAUGUGGUCACCAACUCAGUUAUCCUUUCUUGAAAGAACAACAUUGAAAUAAAUCCUCAAGGAACAGAGAGAGCCAGUUAACAAGUGAGGUUCCUAGGUGAGGCUGAAGCUGCUGAUUCUGGCACCAUAACUGGAGAAAUACUGGCUGUGAUCCAACAGAGUACUGCAAGUAAAUAAAAUAAAAUAAAGGUAUGUUCA
This 1275-nucleotide long non-coding RNA is filed under the name Sus scrofa (pig). Its description in RNAcentral is "lncRNA (ENSSSCG00015052792.1)". Lineage: Eukaryota; Metazoa; Chordata; Mammalia; Artiodactyla; Suidae. The record is from RNAcentral.